RNAcentral lists this ribosomal RNA (447 nucleotides) under uncultured bacterium. RNAcentral describes it as "partial 16S ribosomal RNA". It matches the Rfam family "Bacterial small subunit ribosomal RNA", at positions 29 to 523 of the family's 1533-position model. The record is from RNAcentral.
AGCGAACGCUGGCGGCAGGCCUAACACAUGCAAGUCGAGCGCCCAGCAAUGGGAGCGGCAGACGGGUGAGUAACGCGUGGGGAUGUGCCCAAUGGUGCGGAAUAACCCAGGGAAACUUGGAUUAAUACCGCAUGUGCCCUUCGGGGGAAAGAUUUGUCGCCAUUGGAUCAACCCGCGUCUGAUUAGCUAGUUGGUGAGGUAAAGGCUCACCAAGGCGACGAUCAGUAGCUGGUCUGAGAGGAUGAUCAGCCACACUGGGACUGAGACACGGCCCAGACUCCUACGGGAGGCAGCAGUGGGGAAUAUUGGACAAUGGGCGCAAGCCUGAUCCAGCCAUGCCGCGUGAGUGAUGAAGGCCUUAGGGUUGUAAAGCUCUUUCGCCGGUGAAGAUAAUGACGGUAACCGGAGAAGAAGCCCCGGCUAACUUCGUGCCAGCAGCCGCGGUAA